GAGAGAAUUUAUCCGUUACCUCCGGAAACCUUUACCUGGUGCUGUCCAGAGGCCAGAGGGUGGCAGCUUCCAGAGUCAUCAGCAGCCCUUUGACCCAGCUGCCUGGAAAUCGAAUGGAGGAAGAGGAAGGCUGCUCUCAUGGAAGUGGCUGGUUUGGAGCCGUGCAAAAACCGUGAGGGGGAAGAAGGCCCAGAGCGAGCCCUGUGCCGGGGCCCACGUGCCGCUUUCUCAUAGGAGGGGAACGCGCAGAAGGGAUGGAGAAUAAUAGGGUCAGGGUGGUUUUUAUACCCUUAAAUGCCUCUGAAAUGCCUUCUUACCCAUUUCAAACAAUAGAAUAAUGGAAGGGACCUUGGAGGUCUUCUAGUCCACCCCAACCCCAACCCCACCCUCUUGGGCUCCAGCAAAGCAGAAGCACUGACCCCACCCAGGCAGCAACACGGAGCAGGGCACGUCAUUGGCACAGGCUGCCCAUCUGUUCCCGCUGCUCUCCAGGCCUGGCAGUGGGUGGGGAGCCGCAUUCACAGAGCAGCCUGCCCAGAUGUCGGAUUGCAACCUUUGGCCAGGAGGAGCCCAGGAGAACCUGGAACUCGCAGCUGCUUCGUGAGCCCCCCCGAGACUCCGCAGGAGAAGCUGGCAGUCCUGGGCCAUCCAGCUGAGCCCCGGGCGCUCCGUUCAAACGAGCCCUAGCCCACCCUGGGGCCCCCCUGAAGACCCCACUCGGAAAGGCCUCCCUCCUCC
Non-coding RNA from Notechis scutatus (mainland tiger snake), 738 nucleotides. The record is from RefSeq and is a predicted model, not a curated record. Lineage: Eukaryota; Metazoa; Chordata; Lepidosauria; Squamata; Elapidae.